RNAcentral lists this long non-coding RNA (266 nucleotides) under Setaria italica (foxtail millet). RNAcentral describes it as "long non-coding RNA (SITA_LNC001656)". The record is from RNAcentral. Lineage: Eukaryota; Viridiplantae; Streptophyta; Magnoliopsida; Poales; Poaceae.
GCCUCUGGUCGAUGGUGCCCGCCGAGAAGGCGGCGGAGGCCGGCGGCGACAAGGCCCCGCAGAUCGACGUCACUCAGUUCGGCUACUUCAAGGUGCUCGGCAAGGGGAAGCUGCCGUCCAAGCCCAUCGUCGUCAAGGCCAAGCUCAUCUCCAAGGUCGCCGAGAAGAAGAUCAAGGCCGCCGGCGGAGCCGUCGUGCUCACCGCCUAGGUUUCAGUCUUUGUCUGCCUCUUGGUUUUGAGAUCUAUAUCUGAACUAGUAGUGCUU